CAACCCUCAGGCCCCGCCUGGCGUUGGGGAUCGGCGCGGCGCCUCGUGCGCUGCCGGCCCUGAAAUAUAGUGGCGGUCUCGCUGUAGUCCUCCUCUGCGUAGUAGCUAACACCUCGCACUGGAACGCGGCGCGGCCAUGCCGUUAAACACCCCACUUCUGAA
Molecule: unclassified non-coding RNA, 162 nt
Filed under: uncultured Ascomycota
Lineage: Eukaryota; Fungi; Ascomycota
Description: sequence contains ITS2
Source: RNAcentral